Alligator mississippiensis (American alligator) is the source of this 3302-nucleotide long non-coding RNA. RefSeq lists it as uncharacterized. The record is from RefSeq and is a predicted model, not a curated record. Lineage: Eukaryota; Metazoa; Chordata; Crocodylia; Alligatoridae. The transcript has 2 exons.
UUCCGGGCUUUAGGCAGCACGCGGCACGAGGCGAGGGACCCCGGCUCGACCAGCCCCUGACCCGGGGGGCGAGGCAACCCGAGCCCGAGCCCCGCCGGCCCGCGGCUGCUCCUCUGAAGGAGAAAUGUGCCGGCCCGCGGCUGCCCUGGCCUUCGGCACCUCUCACCUUUCCCCCUCCAGUCCCCUCCCUGCCUGCCCCCGGCCCCAGCGCAGCGCAGCGCCAGGGCGGGGGACGCACACCAGACGGCCGGGCCCGGCGGGGCGACUCGAAGCUCAGGGUUUCCUGCAUCAGAUAUUGAGGUGGACCGUGGUCAGCAUCAGGAGAAUGAAACAGAGCUCCACAAUUAGCUUGAUUACGAAACAAGAUAAAAGAGAUGGAACAAGUUUCUGGAAGGGACCGGAAGACAGGGAAGUUCUUGCUUUCCAGUUGGGGUGUGUGAUGGGUGGAUUUGUUGUGGUCCCAGGUUGCAGUACAGAGGGUGCAUCUACACAAGGUGCUACAAAUGCAGUAGACUAAUUCUACUGCACAUUAGUGCGGCAGGCAAAACCCGUACUAAUGCACUAAUGUGCAGUAGAAAACAUGUGCCAGCUACUGCGGAGUAGCACUGAUGUGCUGUAAUUAUUGCUUAUUAAUGAAUGUGUAGAUACACCCGGAGUAGAGGAUAUUGGAUUAUUCCAGGCUUCCGGGCUUUGCAGGUCACCAUGUGUCCAAGAAGGAAUUUUAUUCCUCUCUUGUAGCUACGAAUGGCACAUUUUGAUUCACUUUCCUCAGAAGCAUUAGAAGUUAGCUGUAGCCAAGGCUGGAGGUUGUAACGGGGUAUUGUUGAUGCUUCUACUGGUACUUAGAACAAAUGAAGACACUUGCCCCUCUGCUAAGAAGAUCAGUCACCACAUUUAGAAUCAGGAAUAUUUACCCCACGGUCACUGGAAUGGGCUUUGGGAGAGGGAGGGAGCUUCCCUGCCUUCUGCCUAAAACAACAGUCAACCUUGUUGCGUGUCAACAAGACAUAGCAUGCUAACCUGCCACAGUAGUCAGUGUCAUGCUGCUUCAAGGACAGUUAAAAUGCACUCCAAAAAUCCAGAAGAAAUCAUCAAAAACACAAAUACAGGAAGGUGAACAGCUGGCUAGAUAUCAGCUGUGGGUGGCAGUACCUCUUCCAGUCAGGCUGUGAGAGAAGCCAGGAAACCUGUGCACUGAAUUGGGAAGCAGGUGCCUACACUCAAAAGACAGUUCUGGGUUAGGGAGCCCACAUACACAAAGUCCCUCCCUCAGCCCUGACAUGGGCAGCUGAUGCCUCCAGUUCAAGGUAAGGAGUUUGCAGUCAUUUGUGUCUUCAGGGUUUUCCCCUCAGUCAGCUCCAGGCAGUGUUGUCCUGUUUGGGUGUCCUGUUGUGCCCAGCUCCUGCUGUACCAUACAGGGAGCCUGGGCCCCCAACUCUUGGGGGUCCCAGCACCUAGGAUUUAGGCAUUGCGGCACCAUCCCUGUCAGUACACAAGUCCUUUUUUGGACCUAAAUCCUAAAUGUCCAAAUCCUAACUAGUUUUUACUUGUCACCCAAAUCCAGAAUUGUGCUUCUCAGAGACCUUGCUCUGCCUGACACCCUCUCCCCAAAAUUAGUCUGUGCCUCCGCUUUGUGCCUGAAGUGCUCCAGGCAGUUCAAGCUCUGCAUCUGCAUGUGUGCCAAGUGACUCACCACUGACAGUGUGAGUAGCUCAGCACCUGCCUCUCCCCAGCAUCUGCAAGGCAGACGUUUCUCUCUGCACCCCAUCGCUCAAUGCCUGCAGGCCCAGCCAGGUGGGCAUCCUUAAAACAUGCCUUAUUCAACAGGCCCUGCACAAAGUGGAUGGAGGAGGAAGAGGGGGCAUCAUCCCCAGCAUCAGUCAGUGGCUCAGUGGUUUGAAAGCUCAUCCAAGACGUAGGAAACCUGAAUUCCAGACCCUGUUUCAGUUAGUCCUUAGGGGUGGUUGGCAGGUUAUUAAACUGGUGUAGCAGGCUUUCCUUUUGGAGCUUGGGUUGAGUCCCAGGCUUGAGAUUUUGCUGCUUUGGUGAAGCCUGUCCACCAAUCAGGAGGCAGCAAGAGGAGUUAAGUCAUGCCCCUUUCCUGAGGGGAGGGGGAGAAGAGCUUCCCCCAGACCUGAUUGUAGACUGCAACACUGUCAGGUCAGAGCGGAGCCCUGAAGAAUAUAAAAGGAGCUGCUUGCCUAGUAUAGGAGACACAUCUGGGACAGAGAGGAGUGGGGCUUAGAAGAGCUGAGGAAAGCUGCUCAGCUGGGUGAAGCAGUAGCUCAGAAGCACCCCUGAAGACUUCCGUCGGUGGGGAACAGCUCCAGCAGCUAUGCUCUUGGUGCGCAGCACAGUGUCCACACCCUGGGAGCUGCAUGAGGCGGCUCAGAUCUGCAACCUCUGGCGUGUGGCCAGAGACAUGGCGCACAGGCCAGUGCAUGGAGCAGGAUCUUUGGAGCACUUGGGCAGCUCAGGUCCUCAACUCACGGCACAAGGCUGGGAGCUCAGUGCAGGAUGCGCUGCAUGGAGGGUCCGGGAGUGAACCGAGUCCAGUGCUCCAUGAGGCAGCCUGGGCCUCCAACCCAUAGCAAAAGGUUGAGUCCAGGGAGCCAGACUGAGCCAGCAGACCGAGCCAGAGGCCCCAGAAGCCCUGAAUAGUGGAGCCCUGUUCCAGGGGCCCUGUUCCAGGGACCUCCACCCCGAAGGCCACUGCAGGCGAGAGAGCAGCUUGGUGCAGAGGACGAGGACAGUCUUCCAGGCCUGGGAGUUGUGAGCUGCAGGGAAAAAGGAUUCCCACAAGGGAGGGGGGGUCCCCCCUGGUUAGUUAAGGGCUCCUGAAAGUGAAGGUCCCACUGGAAGGGCCCCCCUGAAGUUGCCAGCUUCCUUGAAGGGCUUGGGAAAAAGCCCAAGGGCAUUGGGGUUUCCCCUUAGGAUUAAGUUUAUCUUUGAAGUUCUUGUGCCAUAAGUGGCCUAAUGUUGUGCCUUAUUUUUUGUGAACUCUCAUGUUUGUAAACUAGUAGAUGAAUAGAGUCCUAGGGUUCUGCUGGGACCCCCUUUUGCUAUUAUUUCACCUGUUGUUUAUUUGUAUUUAUUUGUGGCUUAUUUAUUGUUCACCUAUACUUAUCUAUAGUUUAUCUAUUGCCUAUCUAUGUUUAUUUUAGGGUUUAUCUGUUUCAGAUCAGAUACUUACGUGUGACUUGCCUGUAUCUGAAGCACUAGUAUAAGGUUUUAUAGCAUUUACCCAGAGGGUAUUGUUUAUGUUAUUUGUUUAGAUAAAUAAAUAGAUAUGUUUAUAUCCA